This 288-nucleotide long non-coding RNA is filed under the name Setaria viridis. RNAcentral describes it as "long non-coding RNA (SVIR_LNC003819)". The record is from RNAcentral. Lineage: Eukaryota; Viridiplantae; Streptophyta; Magnoliopsida; Poales; Poaceae.
UUUCUAGAUGGAUAUCCUAGAAAAAGAGAGAAAUUUUAGAAAUUUUCAAAAAAAAGCAAAACAUCCGACCAUCAAUCGAUAGAUUCAAAUCAUCAUAGCCAUUGGAUCUAUUAUAUUUUCUAAAAAAUUACCCACCUAUGAUAUUAUGAAAAUAGACUAAAGUAGCCCCCUAAAUCUAUAUAUAAAUUACCCACCUCUACCAUUAUAUAAAAUAAACUAAAGUAACCAUCUAAUCUUCAUCCGAAUUAUCCACUUAUGCCAUUAUAAACAAUAUUUAAAAUAACCCCC